UAUCAAUGCCAAACUUAACAUGGUUCAUCAUGGUAAUGUCUUUGAUGAUCCUAAAAUGUUUCAAGUUGAUAGGCCGUUGUGGAUGUAACGUGUACGCUGAGAGUCGGGAAGCAAGGACAGGGAGUGAAUCAUUUAAUUAAUAAAUGACCAUAGAACAAAACAAGAAACACGGGCAGCGUACAGAAAUGAAACACAAACAGAGUCAAUAACGCCUGGGGAAGGAACCAAAGGGAGUGACAGAUAUAGGGAAGGUAAUCAGGAAGAAGACGGAGUCCAGGUGAGUCUGAUGAGGCGAGUAACGAUGGUGACAGGUGUGCAUAAUAUUGAGCAGCCUGGUGACCUAGAGCGCCGGAGAGGGAGUAUACGUGACAGUACCGGCUCCAGCCGCAGCACGCCGACGAUCCCGGGGACCAGGAGCGGACCGGUGGCCUCUGCUGAGGCGCGGGAGCCUGCCGAGUCUACCGAGUCUUGUGAACCUGGCGAGCCAGCUAAAGCAUGGAAGCCUGACGAGCUAGUUGAGAAAUCCUCGGUAGACUCGGCAACAGACGCUUGACUGGCCAACCGAGUCUUGUGAACCUGAUGUGCCGGCUGAGGGUGGACCCGACGUCACCUACCAACACAAAAAACACUCCCUGAUGCUCCCCUUUGGGGAGGCGUUAUUCUGUAACGUGUACGUUGAGAGUCAGGAAGCAAGGACAGGGAGUGAAUAAUUUAAUUAAUAAAUGACCAUAGAACAAAACAAGAAACACGGGUAGCGUACAGAAAUGAAACACAAACAGAGUCAAUAACGCCUGGGGAAGGAACCAAAGGAAGUGACAGAUAUAGGGAAGGUAAUCAAGGAGGUGAUGAAGUCCAGGUGAGCUGUGAACCCCUAAUUACAGGUGAGCUGUGAACCCAUAAUUACAGGUGAGAUGUGAACCCCUAAUUACAGGAGAGCUGUGAACCCCUAAUUACAGGUGAGUUGUGAACCCAUAAUUACAGGUGAGUUGUGAACCCCUAAUUACAGGUGAGCUGUGAACCCAUAAUUACAGGUGAGCUGUGAACCCAUACUUACAGGUGAGAUGUGAACCCCUAAUUACAGGUGAGCUGUGAACCCCUAAUUACAGGUGAGAUGUGAACCCCUAAUUACAGGUGAGAUGUGAACCCCUAAUUACAGGUGAGAUGUGAACCCCUAAUUACAGGUGAGCUGUGAACCCCUAAUUACAGGUGAGCUGUGAACCCAUAAUUACAGGUGAGAUGUGAACCCCUAAUUACAGGUGAGCUGUGAACCCCUAAUUACAGGUGAGAUGUGAACGCAUCAUUACAGGUGAGCUGUGAACCCCUAAUUACAGGUGAGCUGUGAACCCAUAAUUACAGGUGAGAUGUGAACCCCUAAUUACAGGUGAGAUGUGAACCCAUAAUUACAGGUGAGCUGUGAACCCAUAAAUAGGGACUGUGUCAACUCUGUUAGCAGAAAGUUUGCCAAAUCUGCCAAUUGCAACAAUUGAUUUCCUUCCAGAAAUGCUUUAUUGAAGACUUAGCUUUCCACUCAUGUUCCAGGUAAUUCGGGGGGAUUGCAUCCAUUGCCAUGGGCUUCAGUUAUCGCUGCGAUCCCAUCUUAGGCUGCAUGAAAGGGCACGUCGAACCAGGAAUAAUAAUGAAUAAGGCCGAGUGCCAUUCAGUCUAGGUCCACAGGGGCCUAGCGGUAUACAGGCUCCACAGCCAUGUCUUCUCCCCCUAUCUGACACUCAGAGUGACAUGACUAUAUCUCAUUAUCUCCACUGUAAGGCCUGUGAAAUAUAUCAGGAUACAUGUUAUGUCUUUGAUACAUGCAGCUUUAAAAAUUCUAUUUGUUCUGUCUUUGUAAGAGUUCAUGCACCUGUUGGCUGGAGCUGCGAAGGCACAGUAGCCUAGUGGUUCAGAACGGUAGAGUUAGUGUUAUAACACCAACCCAAACGUUGCUGGUUCAAAUCCCUAAGCUGACUAGGUGAGAAUCUGUCAAUGUACCCUUGAGCAAGACACAUCUUGAUCCACUCUGGCUAGUUGCUCUGGAUAAGAGUGUAUGUAGUGAAUGUUUUAGUUUAGAAUUUAUUGGUGUCCCUUUGCUGCUUGAAAAGUCUUUGGCAAAGAAGUUCAACUUAGUACAGUGUGAUUUGCAUGUGAAUGUCAAAGAGACCAAGCUCAGUAGAACUGAAAGAAUGGAUACGAGGAGAAGUAGGAGAAGCAGUGGAGUAAUAGAGGAAAGCAAUGGAGCAAGCCCACUGCUUGGCUUGCUUUAAACUGUUCAGCUGCCUAGUUGUCAUUAUAUUAAUUUAGAUGAAGGAAAUGAAACAAGGAGAGGAAGCUACUUUAGACUAUUUAAUUCAGCUCAUAAAAUGACACAGCCUAAAUACUUCCCAGCACAUAGUCUAUCUCUCUCCUGCUCUCCAUCUCUCUGUCGAUCUCUUUCUCUGUCCAUCUCUCUCUCUGUCCAUCUCUUUCUCUGUACAUCUCUCUCUGUCCAUCUCUUUCUCUGUCCAUCUCACUCUCUUUCCAUCUCUUUCUCUGUCCAUCUCUCUCUCUGUCCAUCUCUUUCUCUGUCCAUCUCUCUCUGUCCAUCUCUUUCUCUGUCCAUCUCUCUCUGUCCAUCUCUUUCUCUGUCCAUCUUUCUCUGUCCAUCUCUCUCUCUGUCCAUCUCUUUCUCUGUCCAUCUCUCUCUGUCCAUCUCUUUCUCUGUCCAUCUCUCUCCCUGUCCAUCUCUUUCUCUGUCCAUCUCUUUCUCUGUCCAUCUUUCUCUGUCCAUCUCUCUCUAUCUCUCUCUCUGUCCAUCUCUCUCUCUGUCCAUCUCUCUCUCUGUCUGUCUCUCUCUCUGUCCAUCUCUCUCUGUCCAUCUCUUUCUCUGUCCAUCUUUCCCUGUCCAUCUCUUUCUCUGUCCAUCUCUUUCUCUGUCCAUCUCUUUCUCUGUCCAUCUCUCUCUCUGUCCAUCUCUCUCUCUGUCCAUCUCUCUCUGUCCAUCUCUCUCUCUGUCCAUCUCUUUCUCUGUUCAUCUCUCUCCCUGUCCAUCUCUCUCUCUGUCCAUCUCUUUGUCUGUCCAUCUCUCUCUCUGUCCAUCUUUCUCUGUCCAUCUCUCUCUCUGUCCAUCUCUUUCUCUGUCCAUCUCUCUCUCUGUCCAUCUUUCUCUGUCCAUCUCUCUCUCUGUCCAUCUCUUUCUCUGUCCAUCUCUCUCUCUGUCCAUCUUUCUCUGUCCAUCUCUCUCUCUGUCAUCUCUUUCUCUGUCCAUCUCUCUGUCCAUCUUUUUCUCUGUCCAUCUCUUUCUCAGUCCAUCUCUUUCUCUGUCCAUCUUUCUCUGUCCAUCUCUCUCUCUGUCCAUCUCCCUCUCUGUCCAUCUCCCUCUCUGUCCAUCUCUUUCUCUGUCCAUCUUUCUCUGUCCAUCUCUCUCUCUCUCUGUCCAUCUCUUUCUCUGUCCAUCUCUCUCUCUGUCCAUCUUUCUCUGUCCAUCUCUCUCUCUGUCCAUCUCUUCCCUGUCCAUCUCUCUCCUGCUCUCCAUCUUUCUCUGUCCAUCUUUCUCUGUCCAUCUCUCUCUCCUGCCCUCCACAUAUUGCCAAAGCUUACUUUUGAUAUUUACAAUAUCAAAAUAGCAAUAACAAUAACAGUAGCAAUAAGCAUACAGUAGAGGACAUGUGCAGGUUGAUUGGUCUGUCAGACACUGUCAAUCAUCUUAUGGCAGGCAGCAAUGUAGUGCUCUCUCUCUCUGUCUCUCUCUCUCUGUCCGUCUCUCUCUCUUUCUUUGUCUCUCUCUCUCUCUCUCUCUCUCUCUCUCUCUCUCUCUCUCUCUGUCUAUCUCUCUUUCUCUCUCUGUCUGUCUGUCUCUGUCUCUCUCUCUCUCUGUCCAUUUCUCUCUCGCUCUCUCGCUCUCUCUCUCUCUCUCUCUCUCUCUCUCUCUCUCUCUCUCUCUCUCUCUCUCUCUCUUUCUCUCUCAAUCUGUCCGUCUCUCUCUCUUUCUCUCUCAAUCUGUCCGUCUCUCUCUCUCUCUCUCUCUCUCUCCAAUUCAAGGGGCAUGGGAAACAUAUGUUAACAUUUCCAAAGCAAGUGAAGUAGAUAAUAUACAAAAGUGAAAUAAACAAGAAAAAUGAACAGUAAACAUCACACUCACAGAAGAUCCAAAAGAAUAAAGACGUUACAAAUGUCAUAUUAUGUAUAUAUACUGUGUUGUAACGAUGUACAAAUGGUUAAACUGCAAAAGGGAAAAUAAAUAAAAUAAAUAAGCAUAAAUAUGGGUUGUAUUUACAAUGGUGUUUGUUCUUCACUAGUUGACCUUUUCUUGUGGCACAGGUCACAAAUAUUGCUGCUGUGAUGGCACACUGUGGUAUUUCACCCAAUAGAUAUGAGAAUUUACCAAAAUCGGGUUUCUUUUCAAAUUCUUUGUGGGUCUGUGUAAUCUGAGGGAAAUAUGUGUCUCUAAUAUUGUCAUACAUUUUGCAGGAGGUUAGGAAGUGCAGCGCAGUUUCCACCUAAUUUUUUUGGGCAGUGUGGACAUAGCCUGUCUUCUCUUGAGAGCCAUGUCUGCCUACAGUGGCCUUUCUCGAUAGCAAGGCUAUGCUCACUGGAGUCUGUACAUAGUCAAAGCUUUCCUUAAGUUUGGGUCAGUCACAGUGGUCAGGUAUUCUGCCACUGUGUACUCUCUGUUUAGGGCCAAACAGCAUUCUAGUUUGCUCUGUUUUUUUGUUAAUUCUUUCCAAUGUGUCCAGUAGUUACCUUUUUGUUUUCUCAUGAUUUGGUUGGGUCUAAUUGUGUUGCUGUCCUGGGGCUCUGUGGGGUGUGUUGUGUUUGUGAACAGAGCCCCAGGACCAGCUUGCUUAGGGGACUCUUUGCCAGGUUCAUCUCUCUGUAGGUGAUAUGGUGGCAAAAUUGCAAGAUUAUGUUAUAAUACUUUUAUUGCAUGAAAUGGUUGUGUUAUGCAACAGAAUAGAGUAUUCUGUUAACUAUUGUGUGUGUGUUCUACUGAGGAUGGGCCACUGGGAGAUAACACUGACAGAGGAGAUUUAUGAGGUCUUUUGGGUGAUAAAACCUAAAGAGCAUUCCAGAGCAUGAGUUAAUGUUUCUGUUCUAUACCGUACCAGGGAGAGAUGGUUCCAGUUUGGAGUCAGAGGGACAGACUCUGGUCUAUACAAUGAAAACUGUUGACACAGCAGAUACUGUAUGCUAUGUAUUAUAGGUAUCUUUCAUCCAGAUCUUAACCUUGUGACCCAUUCUAUAUAUCUGUUGUUGGUCAUGUAGGUUGAAAGGGGGGUAUCUUGGCUAUAAAAGACAUGGUGUAUCGUCGACCAGCCAUUGUUAUUGCAAAGCUCUCACUAAUAAAGAUUCAGUUUAACUAUAA
This 5335-nucleotide long non-coding RNA is filed under the name Salmo salar (Atlantic salmon). RNAcentral's name for it is "lncRNA (ENSSSAG00000113689.1)". Lineage: Eukaryota; Metazoa; Chordata; Actinopteri; Salmoniformes; Salmonidae. The record is from RNAcentral.